AGAAAAAUACAUGUUAUACAUGUAUAUAGGAAUAAUAUCCUACUUUUAUACGUUAAUACUAGACAUACAAUCCACUCCACCUCUAGCCGUCUAAAUCUUCAAGGAAUUUCUCCAACACAAAUGUCAUCAGGAACCAUGUAUACUUUAGAAGCACAUUCUUCCCAAUAUUGGCAUCAAGUAAUAGCUGAUAAAACUUCUUAAGAUGGUUUGUCACCUUGAUAGAUAAAUUCCUAACCAUGAUGCAAGAAAUAUGCAUAUAAAUGAGAGUAUGAGACCCAUUAAACUCGAUUAACAAAUAAGAAGAUAAG
Molecule: long non-coding RNA, 308 nt
Filed under: Panax ginseng (ginseng)
Lineage: Eukaryota; Viridiplantae; Streptophyta; Magnoliopsida; Apiales; Araliaceae
Description: long non-coding RNA (PGIN_LNC011715)
Source: RNAcentral